GACGUAGGAAGCAAGCGUUGUCCGGAAUGACUGGGCGUAAAGGGUGCGUAGGCGGGAAAUUAAGUUAAGUGUGAAAGCCUUGGGCUUAACCCAAGAAAUGCACUUGAUACUGGUUUUCUAGAGUGUAGGAGAGGUAAGUGGAAUUCCUAGUGUAGCGGUAAAAUGCGUAGAGAUUAGGAGGAACAUCAGAGGCGAAGGCGGCUUACUGGACUAUAACUGACGCUGAGGCUCGAAAGCGUGGGGAGCAAACAGG
Molecule: ribosomal RNA, 253 nt
Filed under: uncultured bacterium
Lineage: Bacteria
Description: partial 16S ribosomal RNA
Rfam family: Bacterial small subunit ribosomal RNA
Source: RNAcentral